This is a non-coding RNA of Vicia faba (fava bean), 285 nucleotides long. NCBI's taxonomy places the organism in Eukaryota, Viridiplantae, Streptophyta, Magnoliopsida, Fabales, Fabaceae. The record is from the annotation of a GenBank genome assembly.
AUGCCCCUCCUUUUGAAUUCUAAUAUUUUGAGGGUUGGGAAUGGUAAAGAUAUUAAUGCUUUGAGUGAUAGUUGGGUGGAACCGGGAAGGGGCAUUAACGAGUAUAAUCUAAAUAUUCCUUGCAAGCUGAGGAAUGCUAAACUCAAUGUAGAUGGAGCUUGUGGUGCAGGUGGUAUUGUCGGAUGUGGAGGCGUUAUUCAGAAUGAUCAAGUGAUAAUUCAAUUCUGGGUCGGUUUCAAUUUCGUCAAAAUUGAAUUUUUAUGUCAGGUUUUAAGGUUUCAAUGA